This is a non-coding RNA of Cinara cedri, 545 nucleotides long. NCBI's taxonomy places the organism in Eukaryota, Metazoa, Arthropoda, Insecta, Hemiptera, Aphididae. The record is from the annotation of a GenBank genome assembly.
UUGACUGUUUCAAAUUCGUACAGGAGGAAUACUUCCAAAAUGUACUUUCAUUUAUUAUCGAUCCGGGAUUUAAAUCGUCGGGUAUUUCUUUUACCAAACAUUUAUAAAAAUUCCACUUUCUUAAACUCGUUACCGAUAAAUUAGGCGGGCCAUUUUAAAACGUAGAUUUGUUGUAACUCUCCUUCUCCGUUUUUCGCCACUUAAUACUACGGUUUUAUUUUAUUAUCAUUUUUUUUUUCACAGUAAAUUUAUAGCCCGUUCGUAUAUAAUAGGCGAGUAUCUUAAUUCAACACGGUGAAAAUUUAUUUGUGUGUACUUAUAUUAUAUAAAUAUACUACAACGGGGGAGUAAUUCGAAAAUGUAUAUCGGAAAUAUCCAAACGGCGAUAGCUGCUUCUGUUGUAGCAGUAUAGGUAUUGAAUUAUAUCGGGCCAUUAAAGACGAGUGAAUGGCCAAAAAAUAUAAAUUACCAUCGGGCGUAUAGAAUUGGCUAUAAAAACAUUAUUGGAAGGGUGUUUUUUUUCCUCUGUCUGAAAUAAUUACAUA